Molecule: long non-coding RNA, 1091 nt
Organism: Octopus bimaculoides (California two-spot octopus)
Lineage: Eukaryota; Metazoa; Mollusca; Cephalopoda; Octopoda; Octopodidae
Source: RefSeq, a predicted model, not a curated record
CGUUAACAUAGGUAUUUAUUUUCAUAAAAUCUCGUCCUCUGAGUAAUUUCUAAGCUGUUGGUUUUUUUGUUGAAUCAACGAAUGCAAACGUCGUGUGAUCGCUUUGAUGUAUGACGAGAUACUUUCCAUAUAAGUCUCUUUUUAAGCCCAUGAUAGCUGGGUAAUACAAACACUAAUCGACAGAAGGCGAUAUCUAUUGCUUCGAGAAACAAAACAUUGAGUCCGGAUUUGUGAAUUAUUGAUAGGAUAGUGUUGACUAAAUAAAAACUGGCGUUUAAUCCAUAUUCCCGCGUUUGUGCAGGUAAACGUGUCCAUGUGCUGGUAUUCGCAAAUUAUUUGCGCAUCAAUACGAGUUACCAUCAUUGAAAUUUAUUCAAAAAAUGUGCAUUCUGUGCAGCCACAGACAAGGUAAACGUUUCUUUUUACACAAUCCCCGUUCAUGUUGUCUCUCUUUUUCUGUAUUACAGAUAUUAGUUUUCCUAAAUCGACUAACGACUGAAUCUCAUGGAAUCGAUGUUGGUGGCUGUUUCGUAAUAACUCCCUCGUCAACACUUACGAUGAUAGGAAGUUUUAUUACUUACAUACUGGUUGUGAUCCAGACAAAAUCUUUAUAGCUGCCCUCUCUUCCUUAUUAUACCUUUCCAAUGAUAAAUUAUAUGCGAAGCUCGAUUUAACAACAUUACCUCGCCAGUACAUGAAUUCGGACCACGUCCCUACAAACCUUUCCGAAGCAAGAUUCUUGAAAAGAUUAAAAAAUAGCGUGAUACUGUAUCGAGUUCCAGCCUCUCCUACCAGCGUUAGAUUGAUUAUGUAAUCUUUGUUAUCAGACACACAUGCUAUUGAUUUUCAACUAGUUUACUUACAACUGAUCAUCACUUUUGUCAAAAAGAAUAUUUUUCACUUUGAUUUUUCUCAAUAUAUAUUGUAUUUUCCUUCCCACUCAUCUGGGCAACAUGUUUUUCGUUUCUCUCAUUUUCAUCAAUAUAUAAGACCGAUAAAUCACUGGAUGUAUAUUAUAAAUGUUCAACCUUACAUUACGUAGUUUCAUUUUUGGCAAUAUUUUCUUGAAAUAAAAUAUCAUGAUGAAUCUA